RNAcentral lists this transfer RNA (72 nucleotides) under Camelus bactrianus (Bactrian camel). It matches the Rfam family "tRNA". Rfam says of the family: Transfer RNA (tRNA) molecules are approximately 80 nucleotides in length. Their secondary structure includes four short double-helical elements and three loops (D, anti-codon, and T loops). Lineage: Eukaryota; Metazoa; Chordata; Mammalia; Artiodactyla; Camelidae. The record is from Rfam by way of RNAcentral. RNAcentral also lists the same sequence under 2 other names.
GAGGGCAUAGCUCAGUGGUAGAGCACAUGCUUAGCAUUCAUGAGGUCCUGGGUUCAAUCCCCAGUACCUCCU